This is a non-coding RNA of Pelobates cultripes (western spadefoot toad), 251 nucleotides long. Lineage: Eukaryota; Metazoa; Chordata; Amphibia; Anura; Pelobatidae. The record is from the annotation of a GenBank genome assembly.
GUCAAAAUAAGUGUUUUUAUACUAGUGGUAAUCUCUGGAGUUUGAUUCCAUCUCUUUGGGAAUUGGAUCUCUAUUUGCCUGGAACUCUUUUCGGCUAUGCACUUGCACGAACCCUGGCAAAGAUUGUACCGCUGCACAUUCCACUUCCCGACCAGCUAUAUGAACGUCAUUCAGGAGAUAGAAGCAACCAAUGCUCCCUAAAAGCAAGGUAAUAUCUUGUACGGUGUUCGCACAGGAACCCCUGAACGGAG